Molecule: long non-coding RNA, 1345 nt
Organism: Apis dorsata (giant honeybee)
Lineage: Eukaryota; Metazoa; Arthropoda; Insecta; Hymenoptera; Apidae
Exons: 3
Source: RefSeq, a predicted model, not a curated record
AUGGUUAUCGAGGAGAACGCGGCUAUCUGUAUUCCAAACACAAGCUCCGAUUGUUACAUCCAGCCACUGAUCCGCCAUUUUUUCGUGGAUUCGAGCCAAGAUUCAAUUCGAGGAGGAAACUUUGGUGUUCUGGAUAUUCGAUUUCCCAAUUAUGCUUGGGAUGUGGAAAAUUAUCAAUCGAAUUUGCCAUAUAUAUUCUCUGAUCGCUGAUGCAAAGCUGCAGGUUUGAUAUUUACAACGAUUCUUUAGAAAUUGAAUAUUGUUGGCCGAUAAACAGUUAUUGACCCUUAAUAUCCUGAUCAAUAUCUCAUAUUUUAUAUUAUCGUGCCAAUGAAAUUGUGGUUGUCAAGCUGUGAAAUUAUAUUCGUGAAAUUAUAUUUCGAUUCAUAUUAUUUUCAAUAAUAUUGUGAACGUGAUUCGAAAAUUUCAUCGAAAAUUUGACCACUUUAUUGUUUCAACGAUACAACAAUUCAUCUACAGUAUCAUCUACAUUCAUCACAUGUAUAAACAUAUUGUAUACGUUUAUUAUGUUAUACUUCACUCUAUGAACUGGCAUGGAUACCCAAAAACCUUGUAUAUCAAUACAUAUUUGCAGAUAAUGUUUAUAAACGUGGACAAGGCUUAAAGCAUUACAGCACCAUAAAUGUAAAAAUAUUGAAAAAAAAAAAGGUUAGUUAAUUUAUUCACGAAAGUAGAUAGCUAAUUUAUCAAAACAUCUCAUAACAAACAAUUUAUAAUUUAUAACGAUUCAUCUCCAAUCUUCAAGUAAUCUUAUAAUAUAAUUCAAUUCGUGCAUAAUUUAAUUGCACAGAAGUAAAGUUUCAUUGAUAUAAUUGCAAAUGUAACUAGGAGCAACAUGAGGAUUGCGUGUGAUCGGGUCUCAUGUUCAGGAACUUUGGUGAAAUAAAUUUUCAGCGGCGUUUGAAUUAGAAUUUCAGAUGAACAAUCACACAGGAAUAUGCAACGGAAAGGGGGAAGAAAAGUUUUACUACACCAAGACCAACAAAUGUGACGUCCUUUCCGCGAAACGGCUGUACAUACCUUGCAGACAAGUGAAAUGUCAUACAUAGUGAAUUGCGUGCAAGAGGCAUUAUGUAAAUAUCGGCUCGAGAAGAAUGAUGCACUCGAUUCACUUUGCUUUCUCAAUCUUUUUAUCUAUUCCCUUUAGAUCGAGGAUUUCUUCACGGAACGCUGUAAUCUCAUCAAACAUUUGCGUAAUCGUAUUUCGUCUCGAGAUUUUUCUCGAUAAUUCUCGAAAUUCUUCGUUACAGAAUUAAUGAAUUGGUGAUUUAAGAUAACGAUAAUUUCGUAAUAAUUUAAUUAGAAUAUAUAUUUCAGUAGCGAU